GCGUAGCAAUACGUCAGCGGCAGACGGGUGAGUAACGCGUGGGAACGUACCUUUUGGUUCGGAACAACACAGGGAAACUUGUGCUAAUACCGGAUAAGCCCUUACGGGGAAAGAUUUAUCGCCGAAAGAUCGGCCCGCGUCUGAUUAGCUAGUUGGUGAGGUAACGGCUCACCAAGGCGACGAUCAGUAGCUGGUCUGAGAGGAUGAUCAGCCACAUUGGGACUGAGACACGGCCCAAACUCCUACGGGAGGCAGCAGUGGGGAAUAUUGGACAAUGGGCGCAAGCCUGAUCCAGCCAUGCCGCGUGAGUGAUGAAGGCCCUAGGGUUGUAAAGCUCUUUUGUGCGGGAAGAUAAUGACGGUACCGCAAGAAUAAGCCCCGGCUAACUUCGUGCCAGCAGCCGCGGUAAUACGAAGGGGGCUAGCGUUGCUCGGAAUCACUGGGCGUAAAGGGUGCGUAGGCGGGUCUUUAAGUCAGGGGUGAAAUCCUGGAGCUCAACUCCAGAACUGCCUUUGAUACUGAAGAUCUUGAGUUCGGGAGAGGUGAGUGGAACUGCGAGUGUAGAGGUGAAAUUCGUAGAUAUUCGCAAGAACACCAGUGGCGAAGGCGGCUCACUGGCCCGAUACUGACGCUGAGC
RNAcentral lists this ribosomal RNA (637 nucleotides) under Bradyrhizobium sp. RNAcentral describes it as "bacterial SSU rRNA". It matches the Rfam family "Bacterial small subunit ribosomal RNA", at positions 74 to 752 of the family's 1533-position model. The record is from RNAcentral. Lineage: Bacteria; Pseudomonadati; Pseudomonadota; Alphaproteobacteria; Hyphomicrobiales; Nitrobacteraceae.